This 29-nucleotide non-coding RNA is filed under the name Rattus norvegicus (Norway rat). Lineage: Eukaryota; Metazoa; Chordata; Mammalia; Rodentia; Muridae. The record is from RNAcentral.
UAGAAAAGCAGCAGAGCUUGCUCCAUAAU